UGGGGAAUAUUGCACAAUGGAGGGAACUCUGAUGCAGCGACGCCGCGUGAGUGAUGAAGGACUUCGUUUCGUAAAACUCUGUUCUAUGGGAAGAAAAGGACUGUACCAUAGGAGAAAGCUCCGGCUAAAUACGUGCCAGCAGCCGCGGUAAUACGUAUGGAGCGAGCGUUGUCCGGAAUUAUUGGGCGUAAAGGGUGCGCAGGCGGCUUUACAAGUUGGAUGUGAAAUAUUGUGGCUCAGCCACAAACGUGCAUCCAAAACUGCAAAGCUUGAGUUAAGGAGAGGUAAGUGGAAUUCCUGGUGUAGCGGUGGAAUGCGUAGAUAUCAGGAGGAAUACCGGUGGCGAAGGCGACUUACUGGACUUAAACUGACGCUCAGGCACGAAAGCGUGGGGAGCAAACAGG
This 404-nucleotide ribosomal RNA is filed under the name Fusobacteriota bacterium. RNAcentral describes it as "Fusobacteria bacterium partial 16S ribosomal RNA". It matches the Rfam family "Bacterial small subunit ribosomal RNA", at positions 355 to 776 of the family's 1533-position model. The record is from RNAcentral. Lineage: Bacteria; Fusobacteriati; Fusobacteriota.